GACGAACGCUGGCGGCGUGCUUAACACAUGCAAGUCGAACGGAAAGGCCCUGCUUUUGUGGGGUGCUCGAGUGGCGAACGGGUGAGUAACACGUGAGUAACCUGCCCUUGACUUUGGGAUAACUUCAGGAAACUGGGGCUAAUACCGGAUAGGAGCUCCUGCUGCAUGGUGGGGGUUGGAAAGUUUCGGCGGUUGGGGAUGGACUCGCGGCUUAUCAGCUUGUUGGUGGGGUAGUGGCUUACCAAGGCUUUGACGGGUAGCUGGCCUGAGCGGGUGACCGGCCCCAUUGGGACUGAGAUACGGCCCAGACUCCUACGGGAGGCAGCAGUGGGGAAUAUUGCACAAUGGGCGGAAGCCUGAUGCAGCAACGCCGCGUGCGGGAUGACGGCCUUCGGGUUGUAAACCGCUUUCGCCUGUGACGAAGCGUGAGUGACGGUAAUGGGUAAAGAAGCACCGGCUAACUACGUG
This 468-nucleotide ribosomal RNA is filed under the name uncultured bacterium. Its description in RNAcentral is "partial 16S ribosomal RNA". It matches the Rfam family "Bacterial small subunit ribosomal RNA", at positions 28 to 507 of the family's 1533-position model. The record is from RNAcentral.